This 434-nucleotide ribosomal RNA is filed under the name uncultured Ruminococcus sp. RNAcentral's name for it is "partial 16S ribosomal RNA". It matches the Rfam family "Bacterial small subunit ribosomal RNA", at positions 341 to 792 of the family's 1533-position model. Lineage: Bacteria; Bacillati; Bacillota; Clostridia; Eubacteriales; Oscillospiraceae. The record is from RNAcentral.
ACGGAAGGCAGCAGUGGGGAAUAUUGCACAAUGGGCGCAAGCCUGACGCAGCGAUGCCGCGUGAGGGAAGAAGGUUUUCGGAUUGUAAACCUCUGUCAUCGGGGACGAUAAUGACUGUACCCGUGAAGGAAGCUCCGGCUAACUACGUGCCAGCAGCCGCGGCAAUACGUAGGGAGCGAGCGUUAUCCGGAAUUACUGGGUGUAAAGGGAGUGUAGGCGGGACUGUAAGUCAGAUGUGAAAUAUACCGGCUCAACUGGUAGACUGCAUUUGAAACUGCGGUUCUUGAGUGAAGUAGAGGUAAGCGGAAUUCCUAGUGUGGCGGUGAAAUGCGUAGAUAUUAGGAGGAACAUCAGUGGCGAAGGCGGCUUACUGGGCUUUAACUGACGCUGAGGCUCGAAAGCGUGGGGAGCAAACAGGAUUAGAUACCCUGGUA